This 346-nucleotide long non-coding RNA is filed under the name Homo sapiens (human). RNAcentral describes it as "HSALNT0073271". The record is from RNAcentral. Lineage: Eukaryota; Metazoa; Chordata; Mammalia; Primates; Hominidae.
UUUUACAGAGUUUACCUUAUUGACUAUGGCUGCUUUUGUACUACAAUGGAAGAGUUGAGUAGGCACAGGAGUCCAAAGGGUUUGCAAAUUCCAAAAAUGUUUACCAUCUGAGGCUUUAUAGAACCUAUUCUGAUCUCUGCUCUACAGUAAGCAGGUUAUGCACAUGUGAGUGAGUGUUAGCUGAGUUUCUUUGACGGUUCCAUGAAGAGAUGUUAAAGAAGACUGGUGCAGAAAAUGAGAGACCUGUCCUAUCAGAAGAUGACUUUACAAAGCUCCUUGACACAGCAAAGGCUAGAGAAAAAAAAAUUAGCUGAAAAAUAUGGGGUGCAACCUAAUUUGAUCAAAU